UUUUAGCCGAUUAUGACAUUUUCAGCAGCGGUGGUGGCGGUUCGUUCGCGCUGCUCGCUUGCUUAAAGUGAUUAGAGUUUUCGAGAGGAGAACUUCGUAUUGUGUUUGCAAUAACGGCAGCAACAACAUCGCUUUAUUUCCGUUCGCGUAACAAUUUGUUGAGAGGUGCGGGGUACCUACGAGGAACAACAACGGAGCUCCGCAGUGGUCACCAUCUUGGUCUGGACAACAUGACGGACGAAAGAGGACCCAACAUGGCGCGACCAACAUCAACGCCUACAAUACCGACAGUUGUGCUGGCUCAGCCGCGGGAUCCAGGAACCUUCUGCGGCACCAACCGCCUCGACGUCGAAGACUGGAUCGCCACGUAUGAGCGCUGCAGUUCGUGCUGAAGGGCGGCGGAUGUGCUGUUGUGUGGACUUUUUGUCCCUCGAAGGCUCUACGACUCCGAACCACCUGAUUAGCUGCAGACGACGUCACCGUGGUGCGCCUAGUGUACAGAUACGGGUAAGACAGACUGUUUAUGGUCCGAGUGUGCUCCGAUAAUCAAGAAGAUGAGUGCUCCAACAGCCAUGCAGAUGUGUGUUCGGACAUAACACAUAACAUGUAACAUGUAAUUUGAAAUGGAACCACAUUCUUGCAA
Long non-coding RNA from Dermacentor albipictus, 643 nucleotides. RefSeq lists it as uncharacterized. The record is from RefSeq and is a predicted model, not a curated record. NCBI's taxonomy places the organism in Eukaryota, Metazoa, Arthropoda, Arachnida, Ixodida, Ixodidae.